GAUCAUGGCUCAGGAUGAACGCUAGCGACAGGCCUAACACAUGCAAGUCGAGGGGCAGCGGAGAGGUAGCAAUACCUUUGCCGGCGACCGGCGCACGGGUGAGUAACACGUAUGCAAUCCACCUGUAACAGGGGGAUAACCCGGAGAAAUCCGGACUAAUACCCCAUAAUAUGGGCGCUCCGCAUGGAGAGCCCAUUAAACGAGAGCAAUUUUGGUUACAGACGAGGCAUGCGCUCCA
RNAcentral lists this ribosomal RNA (238 nucleotides) under uncultured bacterium. Its description in RNAcentral is "partial 16S ribosomal RNA". It matches the Rfam family "Bacterial small subunit ribosomal RNA", at positions 15 to 240 of the family's 1533-position model. The record is from RNAcentral.